GCCUGGGGAGCAGCCUGAGCCAACAGAAAGGAGAGCCCCUCAACAGGACGUCAGAAUCCGCUGCCAGGCACACUGACUCAGAAAACCGCGCCACAGCGUUAUCUAUGCUCUGCUUUAUUUUUAUUUCUUUUGUUCAGCGUUUCCCAAGGACAUUUUAAUCUGGUUCUGGUUGUGCAUCUGACCCCUCUGGCCUGCAGCAAGGGAAGGGGAAGUAAGCUGCCCAGGGUGGCAGAGCCGGUAUCUGGCAGGCAGGUUCUCUACACCGUGAUGCUGCAAAGGGAGGAACAGGAGGAGACAGGCAGCAGCUGGAUUUCUUUACAUGCCAAGUUGAAGAUGAGUUCGGUUUUUUAUCCUAGAGACAAGGACGCUUUGAAGAUGUUUGAGAAUGGGAGGGCCAUGAUCGGAUCUGGAUUGGAGGAAUAUCCAUUUGCCAGCUCUAUGGAGGAUAGACUAGGAAAGGAGGAGGCUGGAGCCCAAUUAAGAAUCUCAUCGUGGAAAUGAGUGAGUUCACACAUUCUAGACAGGUUUGGAGUGGUGCUGACUUCAUAUCUCAAAUUCCAUCUCUCCAGAGCCACGGCACAGGAUGGCACCUUUGUCCCGAAGCCCAGCUUUCUUCCCUUAACUCCUGUUGGGAAAUGGGACUUCCUCUGCUGGACCCCAACUGCUUUGUUUCUUCUGGUAUUUUAUUCCAGUCAAGUCAAACUGCUAUUAGAACAUGUCCUCCAUCUGAGACCUGUGGCGGUGUUGGCUCAGCCCACCACCAUGCCCUCAUUCUGGAUGCUGUGCUGUAGAUAGCAUUAAUGAGAAUGUUUUCUUUCUCGUGCCUGGUGGAGAUCAUUGAACCUGGAAGGACUGGUGUCUAGAUGAUUGGCGUUCUACAGAUGAGGAAACUGAAGCUGAAGGACUUCAGUGACUUAUCCAGGGUCACACAGUUGGGACAUGAUUAGAAGUCUGGUCUUCUUGACUCCAGCUCCAGCGCUGUAUCCACUGGCUGCUUCCAGAGAAAAGGACGAAUCCUAGUCCAAGAUCAAAGCUGUCUCUCCAAGCAGAGAAAGGUCAGGUGACUGCCAUCUGGUACUAGGGGCCCUGGUAGAGACUGGACUCUAGUCAUCAGGGGAGGUUGGGAUAAUAGACGACAGAUCAAUCAGUCAGUCAACAAGCAGUACCAAGUGGUGGGCACUGUGCUAAGAAUGCAAAUGCAAGCAUGGCUCAGAGUACAUUUGCAUUAGAUUUUUUUCAUCGAUGGAGAUUGUGAAAGUUUGAGAGAUGGGGAAGUCUAGCAUCCCGGCUUCUGGCUGCAAGAUAGAAGAUGCAUGGCUCCAGACCUUGUUCAGAUGGGCAAACUGAGGAACAAGGAAAGCUGAAGAUGAAGACAAGAUCCAGAAGGAGGUGGUGACUCAGCCCAGGGUGGUGUGUAAACUCAGGGCAUCUCCUACCCGAAAUGAUGAGUGCUUCUGGUCAACUCAAGAAACAUACAACAGAAGGUCAAGAGAAGGGUAUCUGUGUGGGUCAAGGGCUGUGGUGACAGAAGGGGCUGCUCCAUGAGGACAAAAUGAUGACAUCCAGAUCUAGCGUCUCCACUGCAGAGCUGCCAUUCCACAUCUCCAGCUGUCGGAUGGCCAGUGGGGAUCUGACUCAGCACAUCUAAAAUGGAACCCAUCAUCUUCCUCCCAAUGCACACUUCCUCCAAAAACUCCAUUCUUGGUAUCUUACUACCAACCUUCCAGUCAGCCGGUUCAUGACCUUGGAGCCAUUCUCAGGAUUCCCUCUCCUUCACCCCGUAUUCAAACCUCGCUGUUCCUAUCUCCACAAUAUCUCUCCUACCAACUGGACCAAACUGGCCUCUAACCUAUGGGUGGCCAGAGCUGAACAGAGCAGGCUAGAGACAGGAGAGUCAGGAAUCAAACAGAAGUUUAAUUUUGAAGUGAGGGAAUGGCUUUGCAGGUAAGGACACAUGUGCUGGGAUCUUGCCCCCAAAAGCUACAAAAUUGUGCAUACCCUUUGAUCCAUCAAUACCACUUCUAGGUCUCUAUCUAGGUCUGUAUCUAGAUCAUAAAAAGAGAAGAGGACCCACGUGUACAAAAAAAUUUAUAGCAGCUCUUUUUGUGGUGGCCAAGAAUUGGAAACU
Molecule: non-coding RNA, 2128 nt
Organism: Phascolarctos cinereus (koala)
Lineage: Eukaryota; Metazoa; Chordata; Mammalia; Diprotodontia; Phascolarctidae
Source: RefSeq, a predicted model, not a curated record